Molecule: ribosomal RNA, 811 nt
Filed under: uncultured bacterium
Lineage: Bacteria
Description: bacterial SSU rRNA
Rfam family: Bacterial small subunit ribosomal RNA
Source: RNAcentral
CUAGUGUAGCAGUGAAAUGCGUAGAUAUUAGGAAGAACACCGAUGGCGUAGGCAGGCGACUGGGGUAUUUCUGACGCUAAGGCACGAAAGCGUGGGUAGCGAACCGGAUUAGAUACCCGGGUAGUCCACGCCGUAAACGAUGGAUGCUAAUUGUUUGAGGUAUCAACCCCUUGGGUAAUAAAGCUAACGCGUUAAGCAUCCCGCCUGUGGAGUACGGCCGCAAGGCUAAAACAUAAAGGAAUUGACGGGGACCCGCACAAGCGGUGGAGGAUGUUCUUUAAUUCGAUGUUAAGCGAAGAACCUUACCAGGGCUUGACAUCCCUAGAAUUUUCUCGAAAGAGAAAAGUGCCUUCGGGAACUAGGUGACAGAUCCUGCAUGGCCGUCGUCAGCUCGUGUCGUGAGAUGUUUGGUUAAGUCCAUCAACGAGCGCAACCCUUGUCGUCAGUUGUAUUUUUCUGGCGAGACUGCCCCGGUAACGGGGAGGAAGGAGGGGAUGAUGUCAGGUCAGUAUUGGUCUUACGUCCUGGGCUAGAAACGUCCUACAAUGGCCGGUACAAUGGGCAGCCAACCCGCGAGGGGGAGCAAAUCCCAUCAAAACCGGUCCCAGUUCGGAUUGCAGGCUGAAACUCGCCUGCAUGAAGUCGGAAUCGCUAGUAAUCGCGCAUCAGCCAUGGCGCGGUGAAUACGUUCCCGGGCCUUGUACACACCGCCCGUCAAGCCAUGGGAGUCGGNNNUGCCUGAAGUCCGCGACCGGAAGGAGCGGCCAAGGGCAAGACCGGUGACUGGGGCUAAGUCGUAACAAGGUAACCA